RNAcentral lists this unclassified non-coding RNA (233 nucleotides) under Glomeromycetes sp. Its description in RNAcentral is "partial contains 5.8S ribosomal RNA and internal transcribed spacer 2". The stretch from base 1 to 71 matches the Rfam family "5.8S ribosomal RNA", at positions 84 to 154 of the family's 154-position model. The record is from RNAcentral. Lineage: Eukaryota; Fungi; Glomeromycota; Glomeromycetes.
GUGAAUCAUCGAAUUUUUGAACGCAAAUUGCACUCUCUGGUAUUCCGGAGAGUAUGCCUGUUUGAGGGUCAGUUUUAAUCACAAUCGGUGUGUUUGCUUCCUUUCUUGGUGUCUUCCCGGAUUUGCGUCGUCUUGCCUUCGGUUACGUGACCUAUAAUUUUGCAUGCUCUUUUCUUUCCUAUUUAAUUGCCUUUACGUACCUUUCCUAUAUCGUAUUUUAGGUGUUUUCAUCC